CUCAUUUGAUAUAUCAGACUUAGCACAAUUAUUCAAAAGGAUGAACUCGAAAGUGGUCUAUUGUUUUAAUCAGCGUCUAGUCAUUCACCUCUAACUGCCUAGUUUGUCUCGUGGUAGCGUGCUUGCCUUGAGUGCAUAAUUUCAUGGGUUCUAUGCUGUCAAACCAAAGACCUCAAAAUAGCACUGUUCCGCUAAGCCCUCAUAACGUAGGAAUAAGAACAAAGACUGCUUACAUUUGAUAUCAGCCUUUAUAUGAAAAGGUUAUACCGUCUGAUGCUUUUUUCAGAUUAAACCUCGUCCACUUCCUGUCUACUGAUGGCUGAUAUAUUCUUUUACAUAAUGGCCGUGUGUGAAAUUGUAGUUGCAAUUUUCUCAGGCAAUGAAAAUCAGGUUUUUUUAAAAAAAAAGAAUCUAGGUCUACAUGAAGGUCGAACCUCUAAACUAUGUAAGGCUUCAUCAAAAUUUCAAUGUUUUAGCCUAUCUGGGAUACAGCUUAAAAUUAUGAACUGAAUGUUAGGGUAUUGUUGGGGUCCCCCCUACAGCACCUCCUUACGAUAUUCUCAACAUGCAAGCAUGAAUAAUUAUAAUUUGCAGUCUUAAAUUUUUACAUAAAUCAUUGGGAUCAAGCGUUAAUUUAUAAUGUACAUUCUUGAACCAUGUGAUUGUUUAGUGCAGUUUUGUCAGAAUUUAUUAGUAUGAUAAUGGUUAUUGAACAAUGUAAAUGUUCCAAGCAAUUUUUUGUAUGUUCUGAAUUAAGUUUGUUUUUAGAUAAGAAUCAUGCAAUUGAUUUUUAAUGCAUACAUACAUAUACUGAUGCUUUUGUUGUUCCUUUCAUUCUGAAGCAAAUUUGUGACAAUGCAAUUGUUCACUGCAUUCUAUUGUAGAUAUUUGAGUUUGAGUUUGUAUUGCGUUAUCAUGUAGAUUUAUUUAAUUUGAUGUUAGUGCUUUAAUCUUAAAAGCAGAUUAUUUAGUCAUUUAAUUAUUCAUUAUAUUUAUAUUUUAAUUCAUCACAUUCUUCCUAAGUAAUAUAAAACAAGGAACAUUUCUGUGCAUUCUAAUGUAGAAAAUUGAGACACUUGAUUGAUUGUUCUAGACUAGUCCCAUUUACAUUCGGACAUUGGACUGUGCAGUGCAUUGAGGCAUGCUCUGGAGUCUUUAUUUUUUCAGUGAGUUUUACUGUUGAUUCAUAAUUUGUCAUUUGAUUGUAUAUAUAUAUGUUUAUUUGGAUAUUUAAUUGUUCAGUGCAUUUUCGAACAAAAUUAUGAUGUAUUCAUUCUUAUAUAAAUUCUUGACUUGGAAUUUUAGAGCAUUUUUGUUAAGCAUCGGGAGUCAUCUGAUGUGAAGGUAAUUUUUAUAGGGUUUUCUGAUGAAAAUCUGGUAAUCUUUUUUUGGGUUGUACGGCGAAAAGGAGGCAACUGUAUGGCCUGUUCAAAAACUGAUGAACCAUUCAAUAAUUUACACUUUUAAGAUAUGUUGUAAUUAAUAGUGACAAAAUUGAGGUCAAGUGUGAUAUUGAAUAUUUUAUUUUUUUGGAUUUUUACUUUUGUCUUCCAGAUAAUUGAUUGGUCGAACAAGCGAUUUUGUGUCAUUUCAAUACAAUAAGUUUAUAAUCUUUCAAACAAUGCUUUUGAAAUUUUAGAAAAAUUUCAUGAUCUUUUAACUGAUAAUAACAAAAAUUACAGAGAAAUUUCUAAUAUACGACUUUCAAGUAAUGCCUUCAAUCUUUUUAAAAUAACACUAAUACAUGUAAUGAACACUCAGUUUUAUGUCAUUUUGACAGAUUCUUGUAAUUUAGAUUCAUAUGAUAUUUCAGUACAUUUUUAUAUGACAGCAGAUUUUUUUUGGGUCGUUUUGGUAUCGCGCCAUCGUCUUCGUCGUGUCGUCUUCCGAAGACACAUUGGUGUCCGGUUUAGUUUAAGUAAAUGGAUCUCUAUGAAAUUUUACCAUAAGGUUGAAUACCACAAAAGAAAGGUUGGGAUUGAUUUUGGGGGUUAUGAUACCAACAUUUUAGGAAUAAGGGCCAAAAACUAGCAUUUUUUUGUAAUUUCCAGACAAUAACAAUGUUCCAUAUCACAAGAGAGAAGGCUUGAAUUGAUUUUUGGGGGUAAUUGCCCCAAACGUUUAGGAAUUAGGGUUUCAAAAAGGGGGGGGGGAAGAUAAGCCUAUUUUUUAGUUUCCGGACAAUAACUUGUGUGUACGUUUAUGGAUCUCUCUGAAAUUGUACAAAAAGGUUUGGAUUGAGUUUGGGGGUAAUUGCCAAAAAAGUUUAGGAAUUAGGGGCCAAAAAACAAGCAUUUUUCUAGUUUCCAGACAAUAACUUGUGUUCAAGUGUAUGGAUCUCUCUGAAAUUGUACUACAAGGUCCCAUACCACAGAGGAAAGGCUGGGAUUGAGUUUGGGGGUGAUGACUCAUACAAUGUAAUGGAGUUCAAAAUUUUGAGGGGGUAUUUGUUCACAAUUUUUUUUCAUAUUUUUCUUUCUGAAAAUGAUCCAUUUUUACAUUAAUUAUUUCUGAUUUUGUUUUUUGUCAAUGGAUUUAUGAGUUUGAACAUCGGUAUACUACUGUUGCCUUUAUUUAUAUUUAAAAGCAAAUAAUAAAGAUAUGGCACGAGAUACAUACCAAACAGUAUGUGCAAACCAUUAUAUUAAGUAUUGUACACUAGUAGAUAUUGUGCAAUAGCAAGAAAUCUUCCAUUGCAGAGUAUUCACAAUAGCUAGAAAUCUUCAACUGCAUAGUAUUGUGCAAUAGCAAGAAAUCAUCAAUUGUACAGUAUUGCGCAAUAGCAAGAAAUCUUCAAUUGUACAGUAUUGAGCAAUAGCAAGAAAUAUCCAAUUUCACAUUAUUGUGCUAUUGCACAUUAUUACACAAUAGCAAGAAAUCUUCAAUUGCACAGUAUUGCACAACGCAAGAAAUCUUCAAUUGCACAGUAUUGCACAACGCAAGAAAUAUUCAAUUGCACAGUAUUGCGCAAUAGCAAAAAAAAAUCAAUCAUAUUGCACAGUAUUGCGCAAUAGCAAGAAAUCUUCAUUUGCAAAGUAUUGUUCAAUAUCACAGUAUUGCGCAAUAGCAAGAAAUCUUCAAUUGAAAUUUAAUACAAAUCAUUUAACCCAUUUAAAAUUUUAAGAUAAAUCACCACAUCUAUUUUGUGUCAGAAACCUAUAUUAUGUCAAUAAUCUGAUCACAAUCCAAAUUCAGACAGUAUCAGGCUUAAAUAUUGUUUCCAAACUUGCACCAACUGUUCAGGGUUUGACCUCGGGCCUCACGGUCAUAACACUUUCGAGUAUGAUUUUUGUACUCAGACUCGAAAAUUAACCAAUCAAAUUGCUGGAUUUCAUGUUUCGAGCAUGAUUUUUGUACUCUGAGCACUGAGCAAAGUUUAAUGCCUUCAAGUCCUGAUGUCGUAUUUUUUUAUUUAGGCUAUUUAGUCAUUUGACUGUUUAACACAUUCUUACAUGUAAUCAUAAGCUAUUCCAACAUUGAUUAGACAAAUAAUGUACUGCUUAGUAUAUAUAAAAAUGACAUUUAAAAGAAUGUAUUUUAUAUAAUUUAUGUUGUUAUAUUUUCUUUUUGAUCUGGAUACACCUUAAAAAAUUAACCUUACUAAAUAGAUGUAUGUAAUUCUGAAUGUAUUGAAGGAUUUCAGAAAGAUUUUUUACCCGAUGUAUUGUUUAGCCAUAGUGAAAUUCUUUUGAAAUAUUUUUUUUAUGAUUCUCAGAUCAAUAAUAUAUGUGUAUAUUACUACUUUUACAAAUAUGUUAUAAAAAUAAAUAUCAUACCUGAGUAUAGAAUGUAUAAUAUACUACUUUUUCCACUUUGGAUGCCCUUCACAAACUUGGAUACCAUAAUUAAAUGCUGGUACAAAGUGUAUAUGCAUUUGAUUUGUCAUACUUUAG
Molecule: long non-coding RNA, 3893 nt
Filed under: Mytilus galloprovincialis (Mediterranean mussel)
Lineage: Eukaryota; Metazoa; Mollusca; Bivalvia; Mytilida; Mytilidae
Source: RNAcentral